GCGAGCUGGGUUUAGAACGUCGUGAGACAGUUCGGUCCCUAUCUGCCGUGGGCGCUGGAGAACUGAGGGGGGCUGCUCCUAGUACGAGAGGACCGGAGUGGACGCAUCACUGGUGUUCGGGUUGUCAUGCCAAUGGCACUGCCCGGUAGCUAAAUGCGGAAGAGAUAAGUGCUGAAAGCAUCUAAGCACGAAACUUGCCCCGAGAUGAGUUCUCCCUGAGACUUAGAGUCUCCUGAAGGAACGUUGAAGACGACGACGUUGAUAGGCCGGGUGUGUAAGCGCAGCGAUGCGUUGAGCUAACCGGUACUAAUGAACCGUGAGGCUUAACCUUACAACGCCGAAG
RNAcentral lists this ribosomal RNA (343 nucleotides) under Salmonella enterica subsp. enterica serovar Enteritidis. Its description in RNAcentral is "partial 23S ribosomal RNA". It matches the Rfam family "Bacterial large subunit ribosomal RNA", at positions 2600 to 2925 of the family's 2925-position model. The record is from RNAcentral. Lineage: Bacteria; Pseudomonadati; Pseudomonadota; Gammaproteobacteria; Enterobacterales; Enterobacteriaceae.